This 224-nucleotide long non-coding RNA is filed under the name Lathyrus oleraceus (garden pea). Its description in RNAcentral is "Pisum sativum (pea) long non-coding RNA (PSAT_LNC031921)". Lineage: Eukaryota; Viridiplantae; Streptophyta; Magnoliopsida; Fabales; Fabaceae. The record is from RNAcentral.
UGUGUAAUUAUAUAUACUAAAUUUAUUAAGUCAGGAAGAAUCACAAUAGGAAAUAAAACUCUUCAAGAUAAUUUUACACUGCUAUGCAUUUAUGGUUGAGUUUAAACCCAAGACCUCUGGUAAGGUUGGAAGAGACUCAUUGUCAACUCAUUCAAAAGCUCUUAAGCAUUGUUUAUUUGUGUAUGUGUUGGUUAUAACGUUAAUACAACAACAACCAAACAUUA